RNAcentral lists this ribosomal RNA (468 nucleotides) under uncultured bacterium. RNAcentral describes it as "partial 16S ribosomal RNA". It matches the Rfam family "Bacterial small subunit ribosomal RNA", at positions 28 to 507 of the family's 1533-position model. The record is from RNAcentral.
GACGAACGCUGGCGGCGUGCUUAACACAUGCAAGUCGAACGGAAAGGCCCUGCUUUUGUGGGGUGCUCGAGUGGCGAACGGGUGAGUAACACGUGAGUAACCUGCCCUUGACUUUGGGAUAACUUCAGGAAACUGGGGCUAAUACCGGAUAGGAGCUCCUGCUGCAUGGUGGGGGUUGGAAAGUUUCGGCGGUUGGGGCUGGACUCGCGGCUUAUCAGCUUGUUGGUGGGGUAGUGGCUUACCAAGUCUUUGACGGGUAGCCGGCCUGAGAGGGUGACCGGCCACAUUGGGACUGAGAUACGGCCCAGCCUCCUACGGGAGGCAGCGGGGGGGAAUAUUGCACAAUGGGCGGAAGCCUGAUGCAGCAACGCCGCGUGCGGAAUGACGGCCUUCGGGUUGUAAACCGCUUUCGCCUGUGACGAGGCGUGAGUGACGGUAAUGGGUAAAGAAGCACCGGCUAACUACGUG